UUUACCCCUAUUGUAGUCCUGCUGGAGUGUGCUUUGACCCGCACCACCGAUUGGGACAAAAGCUUUGAAACUUCAAAGAGGCAACAAGCCUGCGUUUUAUACUCAUGGAAUGGACGGAGUGUAGUGUCGGGUCGCCUGCGUUGGGUUUCACCGAAAACAAAUCAAUAACCAUUUGGAGAUAUCGUAGCCUACUACUUUUCAGGGGGCGGGGGCGGACGCUAAUAAUUUGUGAUGCUGAAAUAUGAGAGCGGAACCGAGGCAGAUGAAUAAGCAACGAAUGGAGCACUGUCUGUUGAGUGAAGUUGGGCUCUAAAAGGAAAAAAAAGUCGAGUUGCACGCAACGGGAUUUCUCAAAGUGAGAUAAAAUGUGAUCCCUGUGCACUGAAUCCAGGCAAAAGCGAUGCGCUUUCUGUCUUGCACGUUUCAAUGGAUUCUUUUGAUUGAGAAGUGCAAAAUCAAACUUAAGGAAUAUUUGAACUGAAAAGCUCUGAACCUUAAAAUAAUUUUGUUACACUGGAGAAACCGAGGUGGAGGUCUCUGGCCUUGGAUGACUGAAGAAAAUGACAUUUUGGAACACUUUAAAAGAUUGGUGGGCUCUCACCUGGAUUAUUUUCCUCGUUGUUGCCAGAAGCGGUAGUGCACAAGACAGACAGGGUUACUUAGUGGCGGCCCCGUCUGUGUUCCGCGCUGGAGUCGAGGAGGCUGUGAGCGUCACACUCUUCAAUGCGGUGGAGGAGACCCGGGUCCAGGUGCAGCUCUCAGUCAAAGGAGAGACAGUGGCCCACAGCCAUGGCACUGUACUAGAUAAAGGAACCAUCAAACUCAAGGUCCCCACAGGACUGCGAGGCCAGGCCCAGCUGAAGGUCUGGGGUAACCGGCACCUGACAGAGGGAGGUUACAUCUUCCACAACUCCACCACUGUGACGGUGGACAGCAAAGGGACAGCUGUCUUUAUUCAAACCGACAAGCCUGUCUACAAGCCACAGCAAAGAGUGCUUAUCAAUGUUUACUCAAUGGCACCAGAUCUGAGGCCAGCAAAUGACAAGAUUGAGGCGUAUGUUGUGGAUCCACGGGGAUCCAGGAUGAUCCAGUGGAAUGGACUGAAGCCCCAUUGCUGCGGCAUUGUGAAUAUGAGCUUCCCCCUGUCUGACCAGCCGGUGUUCGGAGAGUGGCUCAUCUUUGUUGAACAGCAGGGUCACACCUACAACAAAUCCUUUGAGGUGCAGAAGUAUGUCAUCCCCAAGUUUGAACUGGUGCUGGAGCCUCCGCGGUACAUCCGUGACCUUAACGUCUGUGAGCAGGUGACCGUCAGGGCCAGGUACACAUUUGGGAAGCCAGUGACUGGGAAGAUGAUUGUGAACAUGACGGUGAAUGGAGUUGGGUACUACCGCCAUGAUGUAGGUCACCCAGUGGUCAAGACCAUGGAGAUACGAGGCACAGCAACUUUUCCCUUGUGUGUGAAGGAGAUGAUGCCGCUGGAUGUAGCGGAUCACUUCCGGGGCACAGUGAGCAUGUGGGUGUCCGUCAGUAGUGUGGACGGCAGUCGGCAGACAAUGCUGGAUGACUCUACCCCCGUCCACAAGCAGCUGAUCGACGUCAAGUACUCAAAGGACACACGGAAGCAGUUCAAGCCUGGUCUGCCAUACAAGGGCAAGAUUGAAGUAACAUACCCUGACGGCAGCCCUGCGGAUGCUGUGCGUGUGCGUGUGAAGGCGGAGCUCACACCCAAGGAUAAUGUGUUCACCAGCGAGCUGAUCUCCCAGAAUGGACAGGCCACCUUUGAGAUCCCCUCCAUCCCCACAGCAGCACAGUACGUCUGGCUGGAGACUAAAGUGAUGUCCAUAGAAGGACGAGCUGCUGGGGACCAGUACUUGCCCAGCUACCUGUCCAUCAGCAGCUGGUACUCUCCCAGCAAGUGCCACAUCCAGCUGCAGAGUCCCGGCCAACCCUUGCAGAUCGGACAGGAGACAGUAGUGCAGCUGAAGUCCACAUGUGGGUGUAACUUCACCUUGCACUAUGAGGUGGCUUCGCGGGGCAACAUUGUGCAGUCAGGUCUGCAGCAUCCCAACCAGAGCACCCACCGGCAGAGGAGGGCGGCUGUCAUCUUCGACAAGAACAUCCACACCACACAGACGCCCUCUGAGACAGAGGAGGAAGAGGCCCUCCCCCAGACCGAGAUUGACAGCUGUGUCACGGCGUUGCAAUUCCAGGUCACCGCGGCAAUGGCUCCCCUGAGUCGGUUGCUGGUGUACUACGUCAGGGAGAACGGCGAGGGGGUCACAGACAGCCUUCAGCUUCCUGUGCAGCCCAGCUUUGAAAACAAGGUCUCCGUCACGCUUUCCUCAAAUGAGUCCAUACCAGGUGACCCCAUCAGCUUGAAGGUCAAAGGUGAACGGGGGUCAUGUGUCUGUGUGGCCACUGUGGACAAAAGCAUGUACCUCCUCAAACCAGGAUUCCAGCUCAGCCCUGAUAAGGUAUUUAAAGAGCUGGCAGACUUUGAUGUGUCAGAUGCUUUUGGGGUACCUAAAGAUGAUGGGCAUUUCUGGUGGCCGGGCUUAUCAUCACGACGACGACGGUCAUCAGUGUUUCCAUGGCACUGGGACAUCACUAAAGAUGCUCGCUUUGCUUUCACGGAGACCGGGCUGGUUGUGAUGACAGACCUGGUGCAACUGAACCACAGGCAGAGUGAGGGCAUGUACACAGAUGAGGCAGUCCCAGCGUUCCAGCCCCACACCUCCACACAAGCAGCCCUACAUGCCCGACCAGGGCCCAGAGCAGAGAAGCGCAGGCGAACGUUCUUCCCUGAGACGUGGGUGUGGCACUGCCUCAAUGUCAGUGAUGUCACAGGUGAAGCAGAGCUCCAAUUAGUCGUCCCGGAUUCCAUUACCACCUGGGUGACAGAGGCGAUUGGUCUGUCGGAGGAGAAGGGGCUGGGCAUGGCGGCCAGGGCGGAGCUGCGUACGUUUAAGCCCUUCUUUGUGGAUUUCACCCUGCCGUACAGCGUCAUCCGCGGGGAGCAGACCAAAGUGCCCCUCACUGUCUACAACUACUUACCUACCUGUGCAGAGGUCCAUGUCAAAGUGUCUGUGCCCAAGGGCAUCCGCUUUGUGGGGCAUCCUGGCAAGCAUCACCUGACCAGGAAGAAGUGUGUGGCGCCUGGGGAGGCCACGCCCACCUUUAUUGUGCUGUCAUUUGCCGAGCUGGGUGCAGCCAACAUCACAGCUCGUGCAGUGGCCUACAAUGAACCGGGGUGCUGCCAUGAUGGACUCCAGUCCCCUAAAAUGGGGCGCAACACAGAGGAGCUGGAGGACAGGCGAGCUCAGGCGGGGAGCGACUACGUGCGCCGCAGUGUGCUAGUGGAGCCGGAGGGUCUACCCAGAGAGUACACCUACAGCGUCUUCUUUUGCCCCAAUGAGCGAAUCCACAUCUCCACACCCAACAAAUAUGAGUACCAGUACGUGAAACGGCCAGCGCGCGUCACACACUUCGAGGUGGCGGUGAAGACACACAAUGACGCCCACAUCGCCCUCUCAGCCAGCCCGCAUGACAGCGCUGAGAUGCUUGAGAUCGUGCUGGGGGGCAGGCAGAACACGCGCUCCUGGAUCUCUCUGGGGAAGAUGGGAGAACCGGUGGCCAGCGCCCCCACGCCAGGCAUCCUCUCCUGGGAUGAGUACCGCAGCUUCUGGAUCAGCUGGAAGGGCGGGGUUGUACAGGUUGGCCAUGGGUCUCAGCCCUCCAACGAGUCCAUCAUAGUGCAGUGGCCUGGGCCCCUCUCGGGCCAGAUUCGGCACAUUGGCUUCUCCACAGGCUGGGGCUCCGUCGGCGAGUUCAAGAUCUGGCGAAAGGAGGAGUCGGACGAGAACCACAAUGAAGCCUUCACUCUGGGCGUCCCGCACAACGUGGUGGCAGGGUCAGAGCGAGCCACGGCCUCCAUGAUUGGAGAUGUGAUGGGUCCCACACUGAACAACCUGGACCGCCUGCUGCGACUGCCCUUUGGCUGUGGAGAGCAGAACAUGAUCCACUUUGCCCCCAAUGUGUUUGUGCUGAGGUACCUGCAGAAGACCCGACAGCUAAGCCCAGAGGUGGAGGCCGAAGCCACUGAUUACCUGCUACAAGGUUACCAGAGGCAGCUGACCUACAAGCGGCAGGACGGCUCUUACAGCGCCUUCGGGGAGAGGGACUCCUCCGGGAGCAUGUGGCUGACAGCAUUUGUGCUGAAGUCCUUUGCUCAGUCACGGGGCUUCAUUUUCAUCGACCCCGAGGAGCUGCGCGCCCCCAAAGCCUGGCUCAUCACUCAUCAGAAAGAGGAGGGCUCCUUCCCUGCCAUGGGCAGGAUACUCAACAAAGACCUGCAGGGGGGAAUUCAUGGGAAAAUCUCCCUGACUGCAUAUGUGGUGGCUGCGCUGCUGGAGACCGGAAUCGACACAGAGGAAGAAAAGAUGGCAGUGGCCAGAGCGAAGGCUUUCCUGGAGAGUAACACAUACUCGGCAGAUGACCCCUACACCACGGCCCUGCUGGCCUAUGCCCUCGCCCUGCUGAGAAGCCCCUAUGCACCCCUUGCUCUCCGCCGCCUCAACCAUAUGGCCAUCACUCAAGAUGGCUUCACCCACUGGAGUCUCACUGGGAGCACGGUUACAGAUGAGGACACCUUCAUGGGAUUCAGUGAUGGACUCUCACAGUCAGUGGUGUCUGCCGAGGUGGAGAUGACUGCGUACGGCCUGCUCACCUACACGCUGCUGGGGGAUGUUGCCUCUGCUCUGCCCGUCGUCAAAUGGCUCUCCCAGCAGAGGAACGCCCUGGGGGGCUUCUCCUCCACUCAGGACACAUGUGUGGCCCUGCAGGCCCUCUCUGAGUAUGCCAUCCUGUCCUACGUGGGGGGAGUGAACCUCACCAUCUCUCUGGCCUCCACCAACCUGGACUUCCAGGAGACCUUCGAGCUGCAGAGGGACAACAAGAAGAUCCUGCAAAGUGCCACGAUUCCCAGCAUCCCCACAGGCCUGUUUGUCAGUGCUAAAGGAGAGGGUUGCUGUCUCAUGCAGAUCGAUGUCUCCUAUAACGUCCCGGACCCCGUGGCCAAGCCUGCCUUCCAGCUGAAGGUAGACCUGAAGGAGCCCAGGCGGGAGCGCCACCCCUCACCCUCCCCGCGCCACCCCUCAACCCGCUCCCGCUCCCGGGCCGACAACCGCUCCGAGCUGAGUCGUAAGCGCCGGGCCCCAACCGACGACGAGGACCCUGCCAGCCAUCAGGACCACCUAGACUACCGCGUCACGCUGGAGGCCUGUGCAAGGUGGCUACACUCAGGCUCAUCCAACAUGGCCGUCCUGGAGGUUCCACUGCUAUCUGGGUUCCGUGCUGAUGUGGAAAGUUUGGAGAGACUCCUGAUGGACAAGCGAGUGGGACUGAAGCGGUACGAGGUGGACGGGAGGAAGGUGCUCUUCUACUUUGAUGAGAUUCCCAGCCAGUGCAUGACGUGUGUGGCCUUCCAGGCGCUGAGGGAGUACAUCGUGGGCAAGACGGCACCUGUGCCCGUCAAGGUGUAUGACUACUAUGAGCCAGCAUUCGAGGCGACCCGUUUCUACAACGUGAGUGAAAGCAGUCCUCUGGCGCGGGAGCUGUGUGACGGUCCCACCUGCAACGAGGUGGAAAGCUCCAGUAACCAGUGGACAGGCUUUGCGCAGAGCAGCUCGUGUAACAGUGUGAUGGGCUGCCCGGAGGAGGAGCGCUUUGAGCGGUGCACCUGCUACCGGGACUGUGGCUACGACGGCGAGCCCGUGUGCGGCUCGGACGGCCAACUCUACCAGAACCAGUGCCAGCUGGAGGUGUCCGCCUGCCGUAACAACACCCGCAUCGAGCAGGUGCCCCUCAGCCAGUGCCCACAGAUGGAGUCAGUCAUAGAAGAGCAAGAUCCAGCCACAGGGGAAGAAUCUGAGCAGGAGGCAGUUCUUAUCCACACAGGUGGAGAGGAACAGGGCUCCCAGUCGGAGGUCUCCUACUACUCCUAUGAGUACGACUCCGACUCCGAGCCCUUCCCUGCUGAGCCGGAUGCCCACUUCCUGCUGCCCGCCGAGACGCAGACGCCCAUGGCCAGUCAGACGCUCUCGCUGGACACAAAGGACUCACCGGAGCGAUGAAACAUCAAUCAGGAAGCUGCCCAUGUGAAUCCUUCUUCUUGUAUAUGUCUGUGAAUAUGAUAGUGUGAGAGUGGAGACUGGAGAGAGAGGGGGAGAAAGAGAGAGAGAAAGAGACUGACGCUGGAGCAAUUCUUGGAAGGUGGUGGGUCCUGUUCGUUUGCAUGCGUGUUUGAGUGUGUGUGUGUGUGUGUGUGUGUGUGUGUGUGUGUGUGUGUGUGUGUGUGUGUGUGUGAAGACUAUCCAGCAUUGUCCUCCUUUGCCUCUUUAUCUCUCCCUCUCUUUCCAUAUCCCUUAUCUAAGCUUUCUGCCUCUCUGGUAGAAGAAAUAGCCUCUCCUGCCGUAGCUACCAUUCACUGUAAUCUUCCUGUAAUCUAGAUCAAAAUAAUCAAGUAUUUAUGUUUGUAAUUAUACCUGAGUUAAAAGAAAUGUUUGCUGUUGUUUGUUUGUUUGUUUGUUUUUCUAUCUGUGGUAUUUAUUUGUAGCUAGUGCUUGUGUGUGUUUUGUUUUUCUUUGCUUCUCCUCUCUGCUCUAUUUCUUUCCAUUGCCACACAUCUGUCUUAAUUUAAUCUGUCUGUUCAGAUAUUGGCACACAUUGGAUGCCUUGUUUUCAAGCCCUGUGGCAAAUGUGUACACCUUAAGCUUCUUACAUCAGAGUUGACCCUCUAUUGUAACCCUUGACCCUGCACAAGGUUAAUUCUUGUGCGACGGCACUGAGUCUUGCUCCGUGAGAGCAUUAAGCUGAAAAGAAACACAGAAAGAUAAGCUCGGCCGAAUCGAAAGCAUUUGACCCCCCCAGGAGUCACCAAGUGUGCACAGAGAUUGAGAGCUGGUGGGAUUGGAUUGGUGGGUGCAGAAGCUAGAACUCACUAAGCCUCAUGACGAGACCAGUAAUGUGGUCUGGUCUGGUGUUAUAAUGUAAAUUAUUCAAAAAAAUUUGAGUGAAUGUACGGCCUGAGGAUUUAAGAUACAUUGCCUUUUUUUGAAAAUAAGAGAAUAAAGUUUGUACACAACAACAA
Molecule: RNA transcript, 7147 nt
Organism: Clupea harengus (Atlantic herring)
Lineage: Eukaryota; Metazoa; Chordata; Actinopteri; Clupeiformes; Clupeidae
Gene: cpamd8
Gene name: C3 and PZP like alpha-2-macroglobulin domain containing 8
Exons: 44
Source: RefSeq, a predicted model, not a curated record